Molecule: non-coding RNA, 75 nt
Organism: Myotis lucifugus (little brown bat)
Lineage: Eukaryota; Metazoa; Chordata; Mammalia; Chiroptera; Vespertilionidae
Source: Rfam
GGAGGUUCUUGGGUGACACACCCUGGAAUCAGGCUCCCUCCUCUCCAGUUUUGGGUGCGUCACCCAGGAACCCCA